Molecule: ribosomal RNA, 497 nt
Filed under: uncultured bacterium
Lineage: Bacteria
Description: partial 16S ribosomal RNA
Rfam family: Bacterial small subunit ribosomal RNA
Source: RNAcentral
GAUGAACGCUGGCGGCGUGCCUAAUACAUGCAAGUCGAGCGAACGGACGAGAAGCUUGCUUCUCUGAUGUUAGCGGCGGACGGGUGAGUAACACGUGGAUAACCUACCUCUUAGACUGGGAUAACUUCGGGAAACCGGAGCUAAUACUGGAUAAUAUUUUGAACCGCAUGGUUCAAAAGUGAAAGACGGUUUUGCUGUCACUUAUAGAUGGUUCCGCGCUGCAUUAGCUAGUUGGUAAGGUAACGGCUUACCAAGGCAACGAUGCGUAGCCGACCUGAGAGGGUGAUCGGCCACACUGGAACUGAGACACGGUCCAGACUCCUACGGGAGGCAGCAGUAGGGAAUCUUCCGCAAUGGGCGAAAGCCUGACGGAGCAACGCCGCGUGAGUGAUGAAGGUCUUCGGAUCGUAAAACUCUGUUAUUAGGGAAGAACAUAUGUGUAAGUAACUGUGCACAUCUUGACGGUACCUAAUCAGAAAGCCACGGCUAACUACGUG